GGGCGAAUAGCUCAGCUGGUAGAGCAUCGCCCUUACAAGGCGAGGGUCACAGGUUCGAGCCCUGUUUCGCCCACCA
Molecule: transfer RNA, 76 nt
Filed under: Pseudomonadota bacterium
Lineage: Bacteria; Pseudomonadati; Pseudomonadota
Description: Proteobacteria bacterium (cold seep metagenome) tRNA-Val
Rfam family: tRNA
About the family: Transfer RNA (tRNA) molecules are approximately 80 nucleotides in length.
Source: RNAcentral